This 63-nucleotide transfer RNA is filed under the name Telchinia circeis. RNAcentral describes it as "Acraea circeis tRNA-Val". Lineage: Eukaryota; Metazoa; Arthropoda; Insecta; Lepidoptera; Nymphalidae. The record is from RNAcentral.
CAAAUUAGAGCUUGAAAAGCAUUUCAUUUACAUUGGAAAGAUAUUAAAAUUUAAUUGAUUUGA